This 73-nucleotide transfer RNA is filed under the name Paramuricea clavata. It matches the Rfam family "tRNA". Rfam says of the family: Transfer RNA (tRNA) molecules are approximately 80 nucleotides in length. Their secondary structure includes four short double-helical elements and three loops (D, anti-codon, and T loops). Lineage: Eukaryota; Metazoa; Cnidaria; Anthozoa; Malacalcyonacea; Plexauridae. The record is from Rfam by way of RNAcentral.
GCCUAUGUAGCUCAAUUGGUUAGAGCGCUGCACCGGAAUCGCAGGGCCGUAGGUUCAAUUCCUACCAGAGGCU